GACGAACGCUGGCGGCGUGCUUAACACAUGCAAGUCGAACGGAAAGGCCCUGCUUUUUUGGGGUGCUCGAGUGGCGAACGGGUGAGUAACACGUGAGUAACCUGCCCUUGACUUUGGGAUAACUUCAGGAAACUGGGGCUAAUACCGGAUAGGAGCUCCUGCUGCAUGGUGGGGGUUGGAAAGUUUCGGCGGUUGGGGAUGGACUGGGGGGUUAUCAGCUGGUUGGUGGGGUAGUGGCUUACCAAGGCUUUGAAGGGUCGCCGGCCUGAGAGGGUGGACGGGGUCCAUGGGACUGCGAGAGGGACCAGACUCGUAUGGGAGGCAGCAGGGGGGAAUAUUGCACAACGGGGGGAAGCGUGAUGAAGAAACGCCGCGAGCGGGAAGACGGCUUUGGGGUUGUAAACCGCUUUAGCCUGAGACGAAGCGUGAGUGACGGUAAUGGGUAAAGAAGCACCGGCUAACUACGUG
This 468-nucleotide ribosomal RNA is filed under the name uncultured bacterium. RNAcentral's name for it is "partial 16S ribosomal RNA". It matches the Rfam family "Bacterial small subunit ribosomal RNA", at positions 28 to 507 of the family's 1533-position model. The record is from RNAcentral.